GAUCCUGGCUCAGAUUGAACGCUGGCGGCAGGCCUAACACAUGCAAGUCGAACGGUAACAGGAAGAAGCUUGCUUCUUUGCUGACGAGUGGCGGACGGGUGAGUAAUGUCUGGGAAACUGCCUGAUGGAGGGGGAUAACUACUGGAAACGGUAGCUAAUACCGCAUAACGUCGCAAGACCAAAGAGGGGGACCUUCGGGCCUCUUGCCAUCGGAUGUGCCCAGAUGGGAUUAGCUUGUUGGUGGGGG
Molecule: ribosomal RNA, 247 nt
Filed under: uncultured bacterium
Lineage: Bacteria
Description: partial 16S ribosomal RNA
Rfam family: Bacterial small subunit ribosomal RNA
Source: RNAcentral